AUUAGACGAAUCAUCUGGAAAGAUGAAUCAAAGAAGGUAAUAAUCCUGUAGUCGAAAAUGUUGUCUCUCUUGAGUGGAUCCUGAGUACGACGGAGCACGUGAAAUUCCGUCGGAAUCUGGGAGGACCAUCUCCUAAGGCUAAAUACUCUCUAGUGACCGAUAGUGAACCAGUACCGUGAGGGAAAGGUGAAAAGCACCCCGGAAGGGGAGUGAAAUAGAACCUGAAACCGUGUGCUUACAAGUAGUCAGAGCCCGUUAAUGGGUGAUGGCGUGCCUUUUGUAGAAUGAACCGGCGAGUUACGAUUUGAUGCAAGGUUAAGCAGUAAAUGUGGAGCCGUAGCGAAAGCGAGUCUGAAUAGGGCGUUUAGUAUUUGGUCGUAGACCCGAAACCAGGUGAUCUACCCUUGGUCAGGUUGAAGUUCAGGUAACACUGAAUGGAGGACCGAACCGACUUACGUUGAAAAGUGAGCGGAUGAACUGAGGGUAGCGGAGAAAUUCCAAUCGAACCUGGAGAUAGCUGGUUCUCUCCGAAAUAGCUUUAGGGCUAGCCUCAAGUGAUGAUUAUUGGAGGUAGAGCACUGUUUGGACGAGGGGCCCCUCUCGGGUUACCGAAUUCAGACAAACUCCGAAUGCCAAUUAAUUUAACUUGGGAGUCAGAACAUGGGUGAUAAGGUCCGUGUUCGAAAGGGAAACAGCCCAGACCACCAGCUAAGGUCCCAAAAUAUAUGUUAAGUGGAAAAGGAUGUGGCGUUGCCCAGACAACUAGGAUGUUGGCUUAGAAGCAGCCAUCAUUUAAAGAGUGCGUAAUAGCUCACUAGUCGAGUGACACUGCGCCGAAAAUGUACCGGGGCUAAACAUAUUACCGAAGCUGUGGAUUGUCCUUUGGACAAUGGUAGGAGAGCGUUCUAAGGGCGUUGAAGCAUGAUCGUAAGGACAUGUGGAGCGCUUAGAAGUGAGAAUGCCGGUGUGAGUAGCGAAAGACGGGUGAGAAUCCCGUCCACCGAUUGACUAAGGUUUCCAGAGGAAGGCUCGUCCGCUCU
This 1040-nucleotide ribosomal RNA is filed under the name Staphylococcus aureus. RNAcentral's name for it is "partial 23S ribosomal RNA". It matches the Rfam family "Bacterial large subunit ribosomal RNA", at positions 328 to 1376 of the family's 2925-position model. Lineage: Bacteria; Bacillati; Bacillota; Bacilli; Caryophanales; Staphylococcaceae. The record is from RNAcentral.